This is a long non-coding RNA of Oryzias sinensis (Chinese medaka), 2135 nucleotides long. The record is from Ensembl. NCBI's taxonomy places the organism in Eukaryota, Metazoa, Chordata, Actinopteri, Beloniformes, Adrianichthyidae.
AUGGCAGACACAGAAGCUGGAAAGGUCUCAUCACAAACGUCCUUUUCUUUGUUUUUAGGAGCAUGUGGAGAAGAAUCUCCUUCACACACUCCCUGCUCCUCCUGCUCCUCUCCCCCUGGAGAUCAGAGCUUCCUGCAAGGACGGUCGGAGGACGCCAUCGCAGACGCCUUGAGCUUGGAGGACGACAGUCGGAUGAACGCAGUGACGGCAAACCGCUCAAGUAGAGGAAAACGGCGCUCGUCUCAGUUUAGUGAGUAUCUGGACAGUAAAGCCUACGAGGACGAGCUGAGAAGAUAUGAAACAAAUCAGCGAGCGGAGCUCCAGGAGGCUCGUCUGAAAGCCCAGAAAGCUGUGAGUUACAGUAGUGUCUGCUGUUCUGUGAGGUUACAGCACACACGGCUGUUUUGGGGGCUUUUUUUUUUCCCAACAUCCGGAUUACACACUUUCUGUAAAGCAUAUGGUGACUGAACAUGGAAGCUGCCGCUGGUCAUUUUCAGCUCCUGGUUCUGUUCGGAUCGACACCACAGGCAAACUUAAGUGUGUUCUGGUAUUCUCUGCUGGCGUCUCUGCCUCUAAUGUAAGUCAUGGAGGCCACAGGCGUUGGUAGUAAGUAACCUGUAGGAGUUCAGCAGCUGACAUUUACUGUUGCUCUGCAGGCAGACUUUAUUUCAACAGAUUUAUUAUCCUCUAUGCUGAUUGGUUGGAGGGCAUCUUUGUUUCCGAGCAAAACAAAGAUCACAAAGGAGAUGAUUUAUUUAAAAAUAAAGCCAAGCAUAUGUUUAAAGAACAGCUACUGGCUGUUCCCUAUUGCUGGAUGCCGGAUGCUCAAAUCUUGCAUAACUUCCUCUUGUCGUUGACAUCACAACUGUGAAGUAACUUCAAUUGAAUUCCCCGCAGUAGACGCAUUUUGGCCGAUCAGGUAGCCGUCACGGAUGGGGUAGUGAAAUCGGUCUUUCCAGAACCAGGAGCUGCUCCUCCACAGCGGAUUGCACCGUGCUAUAUGCCUGCCACCAAGUGGCAUUUAGGAGCUAUGAAAUUAUUUUUAGACCCCUCAUUCUAGUCCACGGGUGGGCAAAAUACGACCCAGGGGCCUCAUGCGCCUCGUUACACAAUUUAAUCUGGCCCAAAGUACACUAAAUUAUACUGAUGAUCCUAAUCACUGUUUUUCAGGUGCCGAAAACUAUUCAGCAUUCAUGUGGUGUUGGAAGAUUUGUUGUUUUUCUGACGUUCAGGUGUGUUUACCGGGUCAGAAAGGCAUUUUUCCAAUCAUUCCAACAGCACUUGAAUGCAGCAUUUAUUUAAGCUGGCGUUUUUUCCUCAGGGCCAUCGAUCCAUUGGUGCAAUUCCCUCUGAAAUGAGAAUUAAAGUCACCGUUUUGAAACUAAAACAGACAAAGUGCUGCGUUUUAAAUAUAUUUACACAUUUUUAAUUAAAGUUAAANNNNNNNNNNGCAUUUUUCUGUUCAAAUUCCAUAUUAUUUCUUCCUUCCAUGAGGCGGAUUUCCAACCCACACCACAUAUCUGCUCAUGGUUCGGCCCAUCUGCCAAAUUAUUGAACCCCUUGUGGCCUACGAAUGCAAAUGUUUGCCCCCCCCCUAUUGUAUUGUAGAUCUGAGUUUUUCAGAACCAGUAAGGACUGAGGCGGUGUUUUCAUUUAAUCUUGCUAGUGUGAAAUGCAGUUUGAAGUUACUCUUUAAAACAUUUGCAGGACUGAUUUCUUUUGUUUACUUGGGUGGCCGUAACGUGACAUUUCCUUUUGUCAAAUCAUAAUAUUCUCAUCAGACUGCUCAAAAGGCUGUUCUGUGAACUUGUGAUAGUGAGGAUGUCUGUGUCGAACGCAUGUGUAGGAGCGAGAAUACAGAGAGGCCAUUCUCGGCUGUGACUCUGCAGAGGCCAGGCGGUCGCCGCCCAGAACCAAAGCUCAGCACCGAACGCAAGCAAACACGUCUGUGACGAGAAAACCGAGACGACCGGAACCCCGGAGUAAAGCUCCUCAGAGUACGUUCAUGUGGUCGAUGCUCGCCGGCAGCAACACUGUCGUUUUCAUGCAGCACGUUAAACGAUUUUUUUUUUUUUACUCUGUCCAGUGAAAAUCAAAGAGAACGACCUUCUUCCUCUGUUACGGGACGAGCUGCC